GCUGACGAGUGGCGGACGGGUGAGUAAUGUCUGGGAAACUGCCUGAUGGAGGGGGAUAACUACUGGAAACGGUGGCUAAUACCGCAUAACGUCGCAAGACCAAAGAGGGGGACCUUCGGGCCUCUUGCCAUCAGAUGUGCCCAGAUGGGAUUAGCUUGUUGGUGAGGUAACGGCUCACCAAGGCGACGAUCCCUAGCUGGUCUGAGAGGAUGACCAGCCACACUGGAACUGAGACACGGUCCAGACUCCUACGGGAGGCAGCAGUGGGGAAUAUUGCACAAUGGGCGCAAGCCUGAUGCAGCCAUGCCGCGUGUAUGAAGAAGGCCUUCGGGUUGUAAAGUACUUUCAGCGGGGAGGAAGGUGUUGUGGUUAAUAACCGCAGCAAUUGACGUUACCCGCAGAAGAAGCACCGGCUAACUCCGUGCCAGCAGCCGCGGUAAUACGGAGGGUGCAAGCGUUAAUCGGAAUUACUGGGCGUAAAGCGCACGCAGGCGGUCUGUCAAGUCGGAUGUGAAAUCCCCGGGCUCAACCUGGGAACUGCAUUCGAAACUGGCAGGCUUGAGUCUUGUAGAGGGGGGUAGAAUUCCAGGUGUAGCGGUGAAAUGCGUAGAGAUCUGGAGGAAUACCGGUGGCGAAGGCGGCCCCCUGGACAAAGACUGACGCUCAGGUGCGAAAGCGUGGGGAGCAAACAGGAUUAGAUACCCUGGUAGUCCACGCCGUAAACGAUGUCUACUUGGAGGUUGUGCCCUUGAGGCGUGGCUUCCGGAGCUAACGCGUUAAGUAGACCGCCUGGGGAGUACGGCCGCAAGGUUAAAACUCAAAUGAAUUGACGGGGGCCCGCACAAGCGGUGGAGCAUGUGGUUUAAUUCGAUGCAACGCGAAGAACCUUACCUGGUCUUGACAUCCACGGAAGUUUUCAGAGAUGGAAUGUGCCUUCGGGAACCGUGAGACAGGUGCUGCAUGGCUGUCGUCAGCUCGUGUUGUGAAAUGUUGGGUUAAGUCCCGCAACGAGCGCAACCCUUAUCCUUUGUUGCCAGCGGUCCGGCCGGGAACUCAAAGGAGACUGCCAGUGAUAAACUGGAGGAAGGUGGGGAUGACGUCAAGUCAUCAUGGCCCUUACGACCAGGGCUACACACGUGCUACAAUGGCGCAUACAAAGAGAAGCGACCUCGCGAGAGCAAGCGGACCUCAUAAAGUGCGUCGUAGUCCGGAUUGGAGUCUGCAACUCGACUCCAUGAAGUCGGAAUCGCUAGUAAUCGUGGAUCAGAAUGCCACGGUGAAUACGUUCCCGGGCCUUGUACACACCGCCCGUCACACCAUGGGAGUGGGUUGCAAAAGAAGUAGGUAGCUUAACCUUCGGGAGGGCGCUUACCACUUUGUGAUUCAUGACUGGGGUGAAGUCGUAACAAGGUAACCGUAGGGGAACCUGCGGUUGGAUCACCUCCUUACCUUAAAGAAGC
RNAcentral lists this ribosomal RNA (1460 nucleotides) under Salmonella enterica subsp. enterica serovar Kentucky. Its description in RNAcentral is "bacterial SSU rRNA". It matches the Rfam family "Bacterial small subunit ribosomal RNA". The record is from RNAcentral. Lineage: Bacteria; Pseudomonadati; Pseudomonadota; Gammaproteobacteria; Enterobacterales; Enterobacteriaceae.